UCAUUGGAGGUUUUAAUUACAGGUCCCAUUGUCUAUGCUUUGAUUUUUAAUAAUUAAGGUCAGAUUAAUAGUAUAAAUAUCGUUCAAACUUUGUCAUUGGUACUUGCUUACCUUUGUAAAGCAACGUAUUCCUUUCGCAAGAUGAAAGUUAUUAUCGCCCUCUUCUUGUUCGCCAUGGUGGUGUGCGCCAUGAGCCAAGGGCCUGCUUACAGUUAUGGAUACACUAGCUACACUCCAGGAGCCAAAGUGUCUCACUACGCUGCUUCUGGACCAUCUUAUGCAGUUCCAGCUUAUCACCCGGUGUACAACUAUGCUCACCCAGCAGCUUAUCCCUACAGGCUGUAUUAAGCACUUCUACAACGGCCUUGAAUUCCGGAUGAACGCACAUCUUUGAAUUUAUGAAUGUCCAAAGACUGCAUCGUCCGAUGAGUUAUCCAGGAUCAUAUCUGCUGUAUAUGAACGAAUGUUGCUCCUUCGUUCUAUAAAUUUCAUUUCAAAAUUUUUGUACUUCGAACCAUUAAAAUCUUUCUUUAUUA
Long non-coding RNA from Uloborus diversus, 536 nucleotides. RefSeq lists it as uncharacterized. The record is from RefSeq and is a predicted model, not a curated record. NCBI's taxonomy places the organism in Eukaryota, Metazoa, Arthropoda, Arachnida, Araneae, Uloboridae. The transcript has 3 exons.